CGAACGGGUGAGUAAUAUAUCGGAACGUGCCCAGUAGUGGGGGAUAACUGCUCGAAAGAGCGGCUAAUACCGCAUACGACCUGAGGGUGAAAGGGGGGGAUCGCAAGACCUCUCGCUAUUGGAGCGGCCGAUAUCAGAUUAGCUAGUUGGUGGGGUCAAGGCCUACCAAGGCAACGAUCUGUAGUUGGUCUGAGAGGACGACCAGCCACACUGGGACUGAGACACGGCCCAG
Molecule: ribosomal RNA, 232 nt
Filed under: uncultured bacterium
Lineage: Bacteria
Description: partial 16S ribosomal RNA
Rfam family: Bacterial small subunit ribosomal RNA
Source: RNAcentral